This 492-nucleotide ribosomal RNA is filed under the name uncultured bacterium. RNAcentral describes it as "partial 16S ribosomal RNA". It matches the Rfam family "Bacterial small subunit ribosomal RNA", at positions 29 to 507 of the family's 1533-position model. The record is from RNAcentral.
AGUGAACGCUGGCGGUAGGCCUAACACAUGCAAGUCGAACGGCAGCACAGUAAGAGCUUGCUCUUACGGGUGGCGAGUGGCGGACGGGUGAGGAAUACAUCGGAAUCUACUUUUUCGUGGGGGAUAACGUAGGGAAACUUACGCUAAUACCGCAUACGACCUACGGGUGAAAGCAGGGGAUCUUCGGACCUUGCGCGAUUGAAUUAGCCGAUGUCGGACUAGCUAGUUGGCGGGGUAAAGGCCCACCAAGGCGACGAUCCGUAGCUGGUCUGAGAGGAUGAUCAGCCACACUGGAACUGAGACACGGUCCAGACUCCUACGGGAGGCAGCAGUGGGGAAUAUUGGACAAUGGGCGCAAGCCUGAUCCAGCCAUACCGCGUGGGUGAAGAAGGCCUUCGGGUUGUAAAGCCCUUUUGUUGGGAAAGAAAAGCAGCAGGUUAAUACCCCGCUGUUCUGACGGUACCCAAAGAAUAAGCACCGGCUAACUUCGUG